AGCGAACGUUAGCGGCGGGCCUAACACAUGCAAGUCGAGCGAGAAAGGGGGUUCGCCCCCGAGUACAGCGGCGGACGGGUGAGUAACACGUAGGUAAUUUUCCCUUGAGCGGGGGACAACGUUCCGAAAGGGACGCUAAUACCGCAUAAGUUCUUGGGUGCUUCGGCACUGGAGAGGAAAGCUAGGCCGCAAGGUCUGGCACUCGAGGAGAAGCCUGCGUCGCAUCAGCUAGUUGGUGGGGUAAUGGCCUACCAAGGCAAAGACGCGUAGCUGGUCUGAGAGGAUGAUCAGCCACACUGGGACUGAGACACGGCCCAGACUCCUACGGGAGGCAGCAGUGGGGAAUAUUGGACAAUGGGCGCAAGCCUGAUCCAGCCACGCCGCGUGAGUGAUGAAGGCCUCGGUCGUAAAGGACUCUGUGGGGAGGGGACGGAAACCGCUGCACGUUCCAUAGCGUGCAGCAUGACGGUACCGUCCUUAGCAAGCACCGGCUAACUUCG
Molecule: ribosomal RNA, 500 nt
Filed under: uncultured bacterium
Lineage: Bacteria
Description: bacterial SSU rRNA
Rfam family: Bacterial small subunit ribosomal RNA
Source: RNAcentral